This 1174-nucleotide unclassified non-coding RNA is filed under the name Hevea brasiliensis (rubber tree). Lineage: Eukaryota; Viridiplantae; Streptophyta; Magnoliopsida; Malpighiales; Euphorbiaceae. The record is from RNAcentral.
GACUUGGCCUUGUUACCUCCUGCAAUGAUUGAAAAAUUCCUCAAGAGUUUGGGGGCAUAUGGGAGUGAUAACAACAGCUUGAUCCUCACAAGAUUCAUCCUCCAUUAUCUGAAAAAUAGAGUUCCAUGCAAAGCUGUGCGCUCAAGGUCUGACUAUGGUGGUCUUGCAGACACAGCUGUUUAUGGGCUGAUAUCGGUAGGGAAAAGUGCAUUUUCUUGCAGAGGACUGCUGCUGAUACUGAGGAGUGUGUCAGCACUUGGUGUCAGCAAAGAUUGCAGAACUGAGUUGGAGAGAUUGAUAGGAAGCAUUCUUGACGAAGCAACAUUGGAUGAUUUGCUGAUAGCUGGGCGUGAGAGGGGAGUUUAUGAUGUUAAUCUGGUUUUAAGUUUGAUUAAAAUAUUUGUUAAUAGCGCAAUGGAUAGCAUUCAAAGGUUGAAGAAGGUUGGCAAAUUAAUUGAUCAAUAUUUGAGUGAAAUAUCUCCUGAUCAGAACCUCAAGACCUCAAAAUUUCUUGGAGUUGCAAAGAGUUUACCGGAUUCUGCUAGAGACUGCUUCGAUGGGGUGUACAGAGCCAUUGAUAUGUAUCUUGAGGCCCAUCCUACACUUUCAUUUCAGGAAAGAACGAAGAUAUGCAGAUGCCUUAACUAUGAGAAGCUGAGUCUUGAGGCUUGUAAAGAGCUGGCUAGGAAUCCAAGAAUUCCUCCAACUGCAUCAAUGCAAGCACUCAUAUCUCAAAAGUCUCACAUCCCACAAGACCGUAAUGAUAAAGGUAUGAAAAUCAACAUAGACAGGAUGCUGAGAAGGGUGAUGGAGUUGGAGAAGGUUUGCAAAGAGAUGAAGGGUCAGAUGUCUUGGUUGGUUAAGCAUAAUCCCACCACUGACCCUUUUCAUCACAACAGCACUUUGCCUAGGCUUUGUUGAAUCUCUCUCAUCUAUCAUACAAGAAUACUUCAUCUUAUAUACAUCUUCCUCAACCCUUUUAUUUUCUUUUUAAACAAAUUCUUCCUGGUGAAACUUACGAGGAUAUGAUUACAUAAAUCAUGGGUAUGUUUCCAAUCGUGUAUGAUUGUAAUUUCUGUCUGAUUUCUUUUUUGAUAUAUUCAAAGUUGUGGGAACUAUUUGUAUUUUUUUUUCUUUUUGAAGAACUGUAAAAUGUAUAUGCUUGAAUUAAAAC